ACCCACUUAACUCAGUGGUUAGAGUAUCGCU
This 31-nucleotide transfer RNA is filed under the name Pinus sibirica. RNAcentral describes it as "partial tRNA-Met". The record is from RNAcentral. Lineage: Eukaryota; Viridiplantae; Streptophyta; Pinopsida; Pinales; Pinaceae.